UGGGGAAUAUUGGACAAUGGGCGCAAGCCUGAUCCAGCCAUGCCGCGUGAGUGAUGAAGGCCCUAGGGUUGUAAAGCUCUUUCACCGGUGAAGAUAAUGACGGUAACCGGAGAAGAAGCCCCGGCUAACUUCGUGCCAGCAGCCGCGGUAAUACGAAGGGGGCUAGCGUUGUUCGGAUUUACUGGGCGUAAAGCGCACGUAGGCGGACUAUUAAGUAAGGGGUGAAAUCCCGGGGCUCAACCCCGGAACUGCCUUUGAUACUGGUAGUCUUAAGUUCCAGAGAGGUGAGUCGAAGUCCUGGUGUAGAGGUGAAAUUCGUAGAUAAUCGGAGCACCACGAGUGGCAAAAGCGGCUCUCUGGCUCGAUACUGACGCUGAGGUGCGAAAGCGUGGAGAGCAAACAGG
Molecule: ribosomal RNA, 404 nt
Filed under: Actinomycetes bacterium
Lineage: Bacteria; Bacillati; Actinomycetota; Actinomycetes
Description: Actinobacteria bacterium partial 16S ribosomal RNA
Rfam family: Bacterial small subunit ribosomal RNA
Source: RNAcentral